GACGAACCGUCCUAACGUUAUUCGGAAUCACUGGGCUUAAAGGGCGCGUAGGCGGAUGAGCAAGUCCGGAGUGAAAUCCUUCGGCUUAACCGGAGAAGUGCUUUGGAUACUGCUCGUCUUGAGGGAGGUAGGGGCAUGUGGAACUUCUGGUGGAGCGGUGAAAUGCGUAGAUAUGUGGAGGAACACCGAUGGCGAAGGCAGCCCCCUGGGCUAACACUGACGCUCAUGCACGAAAGCGUGGGGAGCAAACAGG
This 253-nucleotide ribosomal RNA is filed under the name uncultured bacterium. RNAcentral's name for it is "partial 16S ribosomal RNA". It matches the Rfam family "Bacterial small subunit ribosomal RNA", at positions 524 to 776 of the family's 1533-position model. The record is from RNAcentral.